RNAcentral lists this ribosomal RNA (301 nucleotides) under uncultured bacterium. RNAcentral describes it as "partial 16S ribosomal RNA". It matches the Rfam family "Bacterial small subunit ribosomal RNA", at positions 509 to 808 of the family's 1533-position model. The record is from RNAcentral.
CAGCCGCCGCGGUAAUACGUAGGGUGCGAGCGUUAAUCGGAAUUACUGGGCGUAAAGCGCACGUAGGCGGAUAUUUAAGUCAGGGGUGAAAUCCCAGAGCUCAACUCUGGAACUGCCUUUGAUACUGGGUAUCUUGAGUAUGGAAGAGGUGAGUGGAAUUCCGAGUGUAGAGGUGAAAUUCGUAGAUAUUCGGAGGAACACCAGUGGCGAAGGCGGCCCACUGGUCCAUUACUGACGCUGAGGUGCGAAAGCGUGGGGAGCAAACAGGAUUAGAUACCGAGUAGUCCCUGUCUCUUAUACA